AGCACCACGAACGGGUGGAGCUUGCGGUUUAAUUGGAUUCAACGCCGAAAUCUUACCGGGACCGACAGCAAUAUGAAGGCCAGGCUGAAGACUUUGCCGGAUUAGCUGAGAGGUGGUGCAUGGCCGUCGUCAGUUCGUACUGUGAAGCAUCCUGUUAAGUCAGGCAACGAGCGAGACCCACGCCCACAGUUGCCAGCGUACUCUCUGGAGUGACGGGUACACUGUGGGGACCGCCGCUGCUAAAGCGGAGGAAGGAAUGGGCAACGGUAGGUCAGUAUGCCCCGAAUAUCCCGGGCUACACGCGAGCUACAAUGGUUGGUACAAUGGGUAUCUACCCCGAAAGGGGACGGGAAUCUCCUAAAACCAAUCUUAGUUCGGAUUGAGGGCUGCAACUCGCCCUCAUGAAGCUGGAAUCCGUAGUAAUCGCGUUUCAACAGAACGCGGUCGAAUACCGUCCCUGCUCCUU
Molecule: ribosomal RNA, 466 nt
Filed under: uncultured Methanosaeta sp.
Lineage: Archaea; Methanobacteriati; Methanobacteriota; Methanomicrobia; Methanotrichales; Methanotrichaceae
Description: bacterial SSU rRNA
Rfam family: Archaeal small subunit ribosomal RNA
Source: RNAcentral